Molecule: ribosomal RNA, 450 nt
Filed under: uncultured bacterium
Lineage: Bacteria
Description: bacterial SSU rRNA
Rfam family: Bacterial small subunit ribosomal RNA
Source: RNAcentral
GUCGAGAAUAAUUCACAAUGGACGAAAGUCUGAUGGUGCAACGCCGCGUGGAGGAUGACGGUCUUCGGAUUGUAAACUCCUGUCAUCCGGGAGUAAGACCUGGCUGUGAAUAGCAGACAGGGUUGAUAGUACCGGAAGAGGAAGGGACGGCUAACUUCGUGCCAGCAGCCGCGGUAAUACGAAGGUCCCGAGCGUUGUGCGGAAUCACUGGGCGUAAAGGGAGCGUAGGCGGCGUGGUAAGUCAGAUGUGAAAUCCCGGGGCUCAACCCCGGAACUGCAUCCGAUACUGCCGUGCUAGAGGAUUGGAGAGGUAGCUGGAAUUCUUGGUGUAGCAGUGAAAUGCGUGGAGAUCAAGAGGAACACUCGUGGCGAAAGCGAGCUACUGGACAAUAUCUGACGCUGAGGCUCGAAGGCCAGGGUAGCGAAAGGGAUUAGAAACCCUAGUAGUCC